AGACCUGCACCCUCGCUGGCCGGAGACGGGCUGUGCCACGGAGCAGGGGUCCCACUGCCCACCAAGAGCCCUGCCUGCGAUGCAGCUCCUCCGGACCUGGAAGCUAAGUAUGUAUUUAAGUGCUCUGAUAUGCUGGAGGUCAUACUGUGACUUACUCUGCUCCUCAGUUUGCAUCCCCUUGAAGUUCACCACGUUUAGGCUCCGAGUGGUGCAGCAGUAGUGCCCGUGAAGAACCAAGCCGUGGUGCUCAUCCUGCAGCCCUGCACAGCCCUCCCUGAGCACGGCACUCACCUGCUUUAGCUUCAACGCAAUUUCACAGAGAAAUCAACAAUCAUUAAGUUCAGCGUCUCGCUCAGAGACCCCACAGCAGCUCUGUGGCAGGGUUAGGGCUCGUACACCAGCUGCUGAGAGCACGGAGGUCUGCGGGGUGCUGGGAGACUCUGCUUGUACCUUGAUGCCCCGAGGGGAUUGUUUUCACAGUCUAGCCCUUUUUGCUUCCAACAGGGUUUUAAAACAUGAAAAGGGCAAAUUUUCAAUACCACCCAGAGCCUCUAUUCUCAAAGGUAUUUAAGUGUGAAAAUGAAACUCUGAAUCCUGCUGAGGCCAGUGGUAAAUAAUAUCUUGUCUUCGCUGGACCUAGCAGCAAGAAGCCAUCUUCCUCUGACUUGUGGAAAUCAGAUAAACCCCCAAAAGCUGAAGAGAUUGACAAAAACUUCGUAGAUGGCUGCCUGCACGACUAUAUUUAAGUUUUGAAAAAACAAGGAUCUUGACUCAAUCUGCUACUAACCUUUAAUGCAGCGACAGACCGAGCACAAAGACCUUGCAGAAAAUUUUGCAGGCACCUAAAUUAUAUGCUUACAGUUUCAGAAGCAACUUGGGGAUUCAAUAAAUCAGCAUGGACUUUGUUCUUAAAUUAUCUAUAUGCUUUUGGAAUUCUUAGCACAGAUCCAAACUUCUCCGUAUUUUGAGGGAAGAGAUAUGGAACAAUGGAUUAAGAACUCUGGAGCCUUUCAUGCUAAAAAUGUUCCAAACCAUAUAUCCAAGCCCUUUUACUAUUAUCUACGUUGUACAUUAUGGUUGCCUCAGAUACCUUAGCAUGAAUUGAAGCUCUUUGGUUUUCUUGCCCUAUAAGAACAGAAAAUGCAGCUGCAAAUCCUGAGUUUGCAGUCUAAAUAAGCAAGUCAGAGAAAGAACAGAUAUUAUUCCCGUGUUAUUGGCAUGGAAAUAAGACAUAGGAAGAUUAAAUGACCAGCCCAAGGUCACAAAAGGAGUGUCUAGCAAAGGUGAGGUCUCAGCCUCAGUUUCUUAAGUCUAUGCCUGAUACUUUAGCCAUCCAUUCACUUGCUUUUUAAGUACCCUGUCAUUAUUUCUCUGAAGAAAAUUAUGCUACUCCUCCAGCAACCAGUACUGUGUAAUUCAGCUUGUCUGAAAGGGAAUAUGAAAUGGCAGUUUCAAGAAAAAUUAACCCUCCUGCCACACAAUCUGGCAGCCCUGUCAAAA
This is a long non-coding RNA of Falco peregrinus (peregrine falcon), 1500 nucleotides long. RefSeq lists it as uncharacterized. The transcript has 2 exons. The record is from RefSeq and is a predicted model, not a curated record. NCBI's taxonomy places the organism in Eukaryota, Metazoa, Chordata, Aves, Falconiformes, Falconidae.